GCGGGUGUGGCGGAAUUGGUAGACGCGCGGGAUUCAAAAUCCCGUUUCCCCAGGAAGUGAGAGUUCGAGUCUCUCCACCCGCACCA
Molecule: transfer RNA, 86 nt
Filed under: Hellea balneolensis
Lineage: Bacteria; Pseudomonadati; Pseudomonadota; Alphaproteobacteria; Maricaulales; Robiginitomaculaceae
Description: tRNA-Leu
Rfam family: tRNA
About the family: Transfer RNA (tRNA) molecules are approximately 80 nucleotides in length. Their secondary structure includes four short double-helical elements and three loops (D, anti-codon, and T loops).
Source: RNAcentral